AAAAAUGAGCGGGAAGUGAAUUUGGAAGAAGGCGAGAAAAGCUGAGUGAAUAGAAGAUAGAGCCCGUACCGCAAACCGACACAGGUAGAUAGGAAGAAGAUUCUAAGGCCAACGGGAGAAGGGUUGUUAAGGAACUCGGCAAGUUGACCCCGCAACUUAGGGAGAAGGGGUGCUCUUUAAGGAGAGCCGCGGAGAAUAGGCCCAAGCGACUGUUUAGCAAAAACACAGCUCUAUGCUAAAUCGAAAGAUGACGUAUAUGGGGUGACACCUGCCCGGUGCCGGAAGGUUAAGAGGAGGAGUGAGAGCUCUGAAUUGAAGCCCCGGUAAACGGCGGCCGUAGCAAUAACGGUCCUAAGGUAGCGAAAUUCCUUGUCAGGUAAGUUCUGACCCGCACGAAUGGUGUAACGAUUUGGGCACUGUCUCAACAACCUGCCCGGCGAAAUUGUAGUACCGGUGAAGAUGCCGGUUACCCGCGACUAGACGGAAAGACCCCAUGGAGCUUUACUGCAGCUUAAUAUUGAAUUUCGGUAUUUCAUGUACAGGAUAGGUGGGAGACAGGGAACCAUAGGCGUCAGCUUAUGGGGAGUCGACCUUGGGAUACCACUCUUGAGGUGCUGGAAUUCUAACCUGUGGCUCUGAAUCGAGUCAGGGGACAUUGUUAGGCGGGCAGUUUGACUGGGGCGGUCGCCUCCAAAAAGGUAACGGAGGCGCUCAAAGGUUCGCUCAGCAUGGAUGGAAACCAUGCUUUUUGAGUGUAAACGCAAAAGCGAGCCUAACUGCGAGACUGACGGGUCGAGCAGUAACGAAAGUUGGAGUUAGUGAUCCGGCGGUAUGUGAGUGGAAAUGCCGUCGCUCAACGGAUAAAAGCUACCCUGGGGAUAACAGGCUGAUCUCCCCCAAGAGUCCACAUCGACGGGGAGGUUUGGUACCUCGAUGUCGGCUCAUCGCAUCCUGGGGCUGAAUUCGGUCCCAAGGGUUUGGCUGUUCGCCAAUUAAAGCGGUACGCGAGCUGGGUUCAGAACGUCGUGAGACAGUUCGGUCCCUAUCUGUCGUGGGCGUAGGAUAUUUGAAAGGAGCUGUCCCUAGUACGAGAGGACCGGGAUGGACGCACCGCUGGUGCACCAGUUGUCAUGCCAAUGGCACAGCUGGGCAGCUAUGUGCGGAACGGAUAAACGCUGAAGGCAUCUAAGCGUGAAGCCGACCUUAAGAUAAGAUAUCCCUUCGUAAGAGUAAGACCUCUCAUAGACUAUGAGUUUGAUAGGCCUAAGGUGUAAGCACAGUGAUGUGUUCAGCCUGCAGGUACUAAUCGGUCGAGGGCUUUUUC
Molecule: ribosomal RNA, 1324 nt
Filed under: metagenome
Description: bacterial LSU rRNA
Rfam family: Bacterial large subunit ribosomal RNA
Source: RNAcentral